This 67-nucleotide transfer RNA is filed under the name Marmota monax (woodchuck). RNAcentral describes it as "tRNA.Thr". The record is from RNAcentral. Lineage: Eukaryota; Metazoa; Chordata; Mammalia; Rodentia; Sciuridae.
GGUUGAGGCUCAGCGGUAGAGCGCUUGCCUCGUACAUUCGAGGCCCUGGGUUUGAUCCUCAGUACCA